Molecule: transfer RNA, 394 nt
Filed under: uncultured marine alpha proteobacterium
Lineage: Bacteria; Pseudomonadati; Pseudomonadota; Alphaproteobacteria
Description: 16S-23S intergenic spacer region
Rfam family: tRNA (bases 100-173)
Source: RNAcentral
UCUAAGGAUGAAUAAAAGUAAAAUUUUAUUCUAAAUAAUAUACAUCGGUAAUGUUGACCGUCCUCAUUUCUCUUCUUAAAGUAAUGUUUCCUUCUUGUAGGGCCGGUAGCUCAGUUGGUUAGAGCACACCCUUGAUAAGGGUGGGGUCGAAAGUUCGAGUCUUUCUCGGCCCACCAAUCUUAACUGGGGGAUUAGCUCAUCUGGGAGAGCGCCUGAUUUGCAUUCAGGAGGUAGCAGGUUCGAUCCCUGUAUCCUCCACCAGGAAACAUUUAGUUAUUAAAACUGUAAAUAAAAAUAAUUUAUAUCAAUAUCUAUAUCCGAACAUUAAAAGUUAUUAUUUAAUGUUCAAAAUAAAAAUUUGAUCACAACACAGAAAAUUUUUCUGUGCAUAAAU